RNAcentral lists this unclassified non-coding RNA (627 nucleotides) under Hevea brasiliensis (rubber tree). The record is from RNAcentral. Lineage: Eukaryota; Viridiplantae; Streptophyta; Magnoliopsida; Malpighiales; Euphorbiaceae.
CUUCAUAUAGUUCUCCGGGUGUUUUCCACUCUCUAUAUGACUCCUGUACCUCCCAAGAAAUGACCUGUAAGCUGGGAUCAACUUCUCUGAUAUAGAUAUUCGAAGCUCCUCCCUCAGUUGAUUAUCUGGCACCAACCAUGUUGCUUGAGUCCUAUGAACCUCUUCAAGCAUAGCAUUGAAGGUCUUAAACCUCUCCCUCAAAGCACUCCUUGACACCCCAGAAGAGAAACUCCCACUCACGUGUAACCCCUCAUCCCUCAAGCAAUACAACACCCUCACCCAAGUAGCUCUCUGAUAACUAGUGGCUGCCUGCCUGAAUUUCCCCGUUAGUUUCCUCAAGUAAUCGUCUCCAAUCAUUUCUCUUAGUUCAGGUGACCCUUUAACCUUUUGAACAAUGUAGUGAACAUUGUUCAUCAUAAACAGAUGCGCUAAUGAUACGUCUUUGUAAUGCUUGGACUUGCCGUCCAAAUUGAAUUGCAGAAUUACAAUAAUCCAAAUCAAAUGAAUGGCUAAUGGGGUUUUCCCCUCUAACUCAGCAAAUUCCAUAUCUGGGGUUGUUGAAUCACCAGAAUAUCUUGACCCCGUUGAUGGUUUCGACAAAAUAAGCUCGAUCAAGGUCUGUUUAUA